CUACGUGCCAGCAGCCGCGGUAAUACGGAAGGUCCUGGUGUUAUCCGGAUUUAUUGGGUUUAAAGGGAGCGUAGGCCGUAGAUUAAGUGUGUUGUGAAAUGUAGGCGCCCAACGUCUGCCUUGCAGCGCAAACUGGUUUACUUGAGUACGCACAACGCAGGCGGAAUUCGUCGUGUAGCGGUGAAAUGCUUAGAUAUGACGAAGAACUCCUAUUGCGAAGGCAGCUUGCGGGAGCGUUACUGACGCUGAAGCUCGAAAGUGCGGGUAUCGAACAGGAUUAGAUACCCUGGUAGUCCGCACGGUAAACGAUGGAUGCCCGUUUUUGGCUUUUUAAGCCAGAGACCAAGCGAAAGCAUUAAGCAUCCCACCUGGGGAGUACGCCGGCAACGGUGAAACUCAAAGGAAUUGACGGGGGCCCGCACAAGCGGAGGAACAUGUGGUUUAAUUCGAUGAUACGCGAGGAACCUUACCCGGGCU
RNAcentral lists this ribosomal RNA (477 nucleotides) under uncultured bacterium. Its description in RNAcentral is "bacterial SSU rRNA". It matches the Rfam family "Bacterial small subunit ribosomal RNA", at positions 501 to 981 of the family's 1533-position model. The record is from RNAcentral.